CUUGGACAAAACGUCUAGAGCCACAGCAUUCCUAGCUGGCUCUCCCCUUGAACACUGAGCAGAAGGCUGGGGCUGAGGGAGGCAGAGUAGAGGGGAAGGCAGCCUGGAGGAGAGGCAGGGACAGGGAGAGCCGAGGCCGGGUUAGGAGCUCCGAGGCUGGGGGUUAGGAGGAUGGCGGGCCAGGGGAAAAGUGUAGAGGUGGGAGGGCGACGUGGGCACAGGAACGCGGUUAAGGUGGGAGAAAAGUGAAAUACAAGGAGGCCGCGAUUUUAGUGCCAUAGCUGUGACAGGAACGAGAGCUAGAGACGAGGGACAAGGAGGAGGAGGAGAAGGCCAGGUAGGGAAGAUUAAGUUAUGGGGAAAAUAACUAGGAGUCAACUGAGACUAGGCUGGCUAGGGGUUGAAAUAUAAAUGCAUAUAAAUUAUGUACGAGUGAGGAAGAGAAGACUAUUUAAGGUAUGAGUGCUAGACUAUUUUGGAGGUGAGACAGGUAGCAAGGCAACAAGAGACCAACACAUGGGCAGAAAAGGAGACAGGAAUUUAGUAUUCCAGCUUUAGGAGUGGGGAGUCUUUUUUUGCUUUUUCUGCCAUGGAUGUAGUGCUGGUUUGGACAGCGGCCGGCGUCCAAUCAGACAACAGGACCGUAGGCCUUGUCAUAACGACAACCAUGACAUCACUGCCAGGGCUAGCGGAAAGAAGACAGCGGAGCUCCAGACAGACAGCGGGGCUUCACGGGGCUGCACGCCGGACAAAGCGAGCCGGCUGCCGGAUAGAAACCGCGCGGACUACCGGGGAUGGGGGAACACGCUGAGGGUGCCGGUUGGACGUUUCUCGGCCGGCGUUGGGAGCUCUGUCCCGGACAAGUUGAGGCUUCCUCGGGGAAGCGAGAUGAAGAUAUGGAGGAGGUUGAGCGAUAUGGCAUCUUGUUUAAUUUCUGCCAAUCAAGACGAGAGGAAGACGACUCCCAAACUGGCAGUAAGUUGGAGUGCGGUGGAGAGGAGAAGCCGUGUGUGUGUGUGUAGUGUUUGUGUGUUUGUGUCGGUGUG
Molecule: long non-coding RNA, 1046 nt
Filed under: Sander lucioperca (pikeperch)
Lineage: Eukaryota; Metazoa; Chordata; Actinopteri; Perciformes; Percidae
Description: lncRNA (ENSSLUG00000010017.1)
Source: RNAcentral